AGCAGUAGCACGGGAACACGGAGGGAGCUAGCGUUGUUCGGAAUUACUGGGCGUAAAGCGCACGUAGGCGGUUAUUCAAGUCAGAGGUGAAAGCCCGGGGCUCAACCCCGGAACUGCCUUUGAAACUAGAUGACUAGAAUCUUGGAGAGGUCAGUGGAAUUCCGAGUGUAGAGGUGAAAUUCGUAGAUAUUCGGAAGAACACCAGUGGCGAAGGCGACUGACUGGACAAGUAUUGACGCUGAGGUGCGAAAGCGUGGGGAGCAAACAGGAUUAGAUACCCCCGUAGUCCCUGUCUCUUAUACA
RNAcentral lists this ribosomal RNA (303 nucleotides) under uncultured bacterium. RNAcentral describes it as "partial 16S ribosomal RNA". It matches the Rfam family "Bacterial small subunit ribosomal RNA", at positions 507 to 808 of the family's 1533-position model. The record is from RNAcentral.